RNAcentral lists this ribosomal RNA (403 nucleotides) under uncultured bacterium. Its description in RNAcentral is "bacterial SSU rRNA". It matches the Rfam family "Bacterial small subunit ribosomal RNA", at positions 355 to 774 of the family's 1533-position model. The record is from RNAcentral.
UGGGGAAUAUUGGACAAUGGGGGAAACCCUGAUCCAGCAAUGCCGCGUGAGUGAUGAAGGUCUUUUGAUUGUAAAACUCUUUUGGCAGGGAGAACUAAGGAUAGUACCUGCAGAAUAAGCACCGGCAAACUCUGUGCCAGCAGCCGCGGUAAUACAGAGGGUGCUAGCGUUGUUCGGAAUUACUGGGCGUAAAGGGCGCGUAGGCGGUUUGUUAAGUCAUUUGUUAAAGCUCCGAGCUCAACUCGGAUAAUGCACGUGAUACUGGCAAGCUAGAGAAUGGUAGGGGAUAGUAGAAUUUCCAGUGUAGGGGUGAAAUCCUUAGAUAUUGGAAGGAAUACCGGUGGCGAAGGCGGCUAUCUGGGCCAUUUCUGACGCUGAGGCGCGAAAGCGUGGGGAGCAAACA